GAGGAAGGGCGUAGCGACGAAAUGUUUCGGGGAGUUGAAAAUAAGCAUAGAUCCGGAGAUUCCCAAAUAGGUCAACCUUUUGAACUGCCAAAUUGGCAAGGAGUAUUUAUAUCUUGACAA
RNAcentral lists this non-coding RNA (120 nucleotides) under Oryza brachyantha (malo sina). Lineage: Eukaryota; Viridiplantae; Streptophyta; Magnoliopsida; Poales; Poaceae. The record is from Rfam by way of RNAcentral.